This 25-nucleotide non-coding RNA is filed under the name Mus musculus (house mouse). Lineage: Eukaryota; Metazoa; Chordata; Mammalia; Rodentia; Muridae. The record is from RNAcentral. RNAcentral also lists the same sequence under 1 other name.
UAGAUUGGCUAGGGAACCUGUCAAU